GGUGAGGGUAAAAAGUCGAGGGUGAGGGUAAAAAGUCGAGGGUGAGGGUAAAAAGUCGAGGGUGAGGGUAAAAAGUCGAGGGUGAGGGUAAAAAGUCGAGGGUGAGGAUAAAAAGUCGUGGGUCAUAAAAAAGUUGAGGGUUGUAUUUUUACGACAGCUAAGACAACUACUAACGAUAAAAGAGUUUUUAAUACGGUGUUUCUCCUUAUGUAAAUCAUGAAUUAAGGGAGAAUUCUGGUCUAGAAACUAACUCAUUAAGUUGAUGGUUUGGGUCGUCUGGUUAAAAGGUUUCACGCACGCAGCAUGUCUUCUAGCGUGUAAUGUCUCCAGGCCACUUUUGAUUAAGGCAUUUUUAGAUAAAAAGGCGGAAUUUUUUCAUUAAAAGCAAA
Non-coding RNA from Paramuricea clavata, 389 nucleotides. Lineage: Eukaryota; Metazoa; Cnidaria; Anthozoa; Malacalcyonacea; Plexauridae. The record is from the annotation of a GenBank genome assembly.